RNAcentral lists this ribosomal RNA (853 nucleotides) under uncultured bacterium. Its description in RNAcentral is "bacterial SSU rRNA". It matches the Rfam family "Bacterial small subunit ribosomal RNA", at positions 57 to 906 of the family's 1533-position model. The record is from RNAcentral.
GCAAGUCGAGCGGUAGAGAGGUGCUUGCACCUCUUGAGAGCGGCGGACGGGUGAGUAAAGCCUAGGAAUCUGCCUGGUAGUGGGGGAUAACGCUCGGAAACGGACGCUAAUACCGCAUACGUCCUACGGGAGAAAGCAGGGGACCUUCGGGCCUUGCGCUAUCAGAUGAGCCUAGGUCGGAUUAGCUAGUUGGUGAGGUAAUGGCUCACCAAGGCGACGAUCCGUAACUGGUCUGAGAGGAUGAUCAGUCACACUGGAACUGAGACACGGUCCAGACUCCUACGGGAGGCAGCAGUGGGGAAUAUUGGACAAUGGGCGAAAGCCUGAUCCAGCCAUGCCGCGUGUGUGAAGAAGGUCUUCGGAUUGUAAAGCACUUUAAGUUGGGAGGAAGGGCAUUAACCUAAUACGUUAGUGUUUUGACGUUACCGACAGAAUAAGCACCGGCUAACUCUGUGCCAGCAGCCGCGGUAAUACAGAGGGUGCAAGCGUUAAUCGGAAUUACUGGGCGUAAAGCGCGCGUAGGUGGUUCGUUAAGUUGGAUGUGAAAUCCCCGGGCUCAACCUGGGAACUGCAUUCAAAACUGUCGAGCUAGAGUAUGGUAGAGGGUGGUGGAAUUUCCUGUGUAGCGGUGAAAUGCGUAGAUAUAGGAAGGAACACCAGUGGCGAAGGCGACCACCUGGACUGGUACUGACACUGAGGUGCGAAAGCGUGGGGAGCAAACAGGAUUAGAUACCCUGGUAGUCCACGCCGUANACGAUGUCAACUAGCCGUUGGGAGCCUUGAGCUCUUAGUGGCGCAGCUAACGCAUUAAGUUGACCGCCUGGGGAGUACGGCCGCAAGGUUAAACUCAAAU